CAAUAAGCAUGUUUCCACCCUUUCAAGUCCAGAUAGUUUCACCAAAAAUAAAACAAAAAGCGUGAAUAGGAGGAUGGAGGGAAGGGACCAGUUAGACAGGGAAAGGAAAAGUCUCUCAGCCUGGAAAAGAGGGCACUGUGAGGGAGCUGUGUGCCAGUUUCUGCAUAUAGAAAACUGGGGCCUUGGAGGAUGCAGCAUUUUCUAAGAGCUAGUGAGACUGGAAAAUCUUCCAGCCCAACCCUGUCAGAUGCCACCAAAACUUCUGUCCUCUGUGAUCUCAGAACUGGGAGCCACGCUAGUGAGACAUGCAUCCUGAUAGGAUCUGCAGCUUAUCAUGUGGCAUUCUUGCAAGCUUCCACUAUUGCUCUUAUUAGCUGGGAAGAUUUGAUUCUGACUCCUCAUGCCGGCUCUAAGAGCUCAGAGACCAGACUGAUACAAUGGGCAGAAAUGUGUUCUCAGCGAUCUAACUGCCUGGUGCGGGUUUUUCUUUCCUCCCACAUCUUAAAAUAAAAUGAAGGAAAACUAAAGAGGCGUGGUCCUGCCAAUCCCGCUAGCAUUGUGGGCUGCAGCAGAGGGCUCGGGGUCAGCCAUGCCAUCCAGUGACAUCUGUGUCCUCUGUCACAGGGAAACAAGCUCUACUUCUCAAAAGUAAAGAACUAGGCAUGGGAAGGAUGGAUGUGGACAGGGGGUAAAUAUACGUCUUCCAAUAACCACAAAACUGUUUUAAAGUUAAAUCUGAAGUGGAUUGGAAGCUUCCCAUAGUGGGCAAAGAGCUACGAAACCUCUUCUCUCUGCAUUAGAAUUUGUCUUCUGGCUAACUCUCCAAAUCUGUUCCCAUGAAGAGGAAAGGAGUGUGCGGAUCGUGUCCCUGAGCAACACUGCUCACACUGCUCAGGGUGACAAAGGCCGUGCCUGGCUGGAAAGCAGCUGAAGUGUCUGAGGACACCACUCCAUCAAAGUCCUCAGGGCUGAUGUUUUCUCCCUGGAAACAAGAAGCUCUGUACUGCCUUGUGAACAAGCCUUCCCUCAUCGGUCAGGUGAGCAAAUAGGCAUCUCUGACCACCGGGUAAACUGAGGCAUGGGCCUUGCAGGCUCCUGCAUUAGUGGACUAAAAGACAAUGGCCUCUAGUAGGCUGACUCCGGGCUUCUAGUCCUGAGCGAACUGUUCCAAGGCAGCCUGGGAUGACUCACAAUGCCUGAGGGUAGUCGAGGCAGCUGAAUGUUUAAUUUUUAACAUUUCUUUUGGUUGGGGGGCUUCAAAAGGCCAGGACAAACAAUUCCUUUCUUGUCCUUCUCUUUCAUCUUUUAAUUGUUUUUAAAAAUAAAGGCUCACUACGUAAA
This is a long non-coding RNA of Peromyscus californicus insignis, 1341 nucleotides long. RefSeq lists it as uncharacterized. The transcript is spliced from 2 exons. Lineage: Eukaryota; Metazoa; Chordata; Mammalia; Rodentia; Cricetidae. The record is from RefSeq and is a predicted model, not a curated record.